Non-coding RNA from Manis javanica (Malayan pangolin), 2990 nucleotides. NCBI's taxonomy places the organism in Eukaryota, Metazoa, Chordata, Mammalia, Pholidota, Manidae. The record is from RefSeq and is a predicted model, not a curated record.
GGGAGCAGCUCAGCCCCAGUUCCAGCGUGCAGCCUUCAGAAGGCCUAUCAGCUUCUGCUUCUACGCUCUUGGGAGCCCCGAGCUGCCAUGUGAGAAGUCCAGCUACUCUGUCGGAGAAUCAUGUGGAGAGGUCUUGCAGAGUAAGAGGCCCUGAGGAGGACUGAGGCUCCAGUCAAGCUGUCCCCUCUAGCCCUGAGGCUCCAGCUUCCCAACUCGGUCAACAAACAUUUGAGUGGAGAAGCUAUCUGGGAUGUUCCUGCCCAGCAGACUGUAUAGAACAGAGAUGAUCACUCCUGAGUGCCCUGUUCGAAUUCUUGACCUACGGAAUUGUCCCGUCUAUCCAUCUUUUGAGUGUGGGUUUGGCCAUUGCUUUGGCCAACUGGACACUAAAAAACAUGAGAGUUUUAAAAAGCACUUGUGCAUCACAGCCUGACCUUCCUUGCUGCUCUUUGGAACCAUGAGAUAACCAUGAAGAAGACUGAGCUAAUCUGUUUGGAGACAUAUGGUCCAGUUACCCCCAUCACUUCAGCCAACAGCUAGUACCUACAGCCAGACAGGAUGAAUCCUCAAGCAGAAUAAAGCCUUGGAGUUACAAAAAGAAGAGUUUGGGAGUCAGAAAAAAAACUUGUACCUGACAGUGGAACCAGUUGUGAGACCCCCAUCUCAGAGGUAUUGCAUACUUUGUGGCUUAUUGUCAGUAUCAAACAAGAGGCUGUAUGGGAAAACCUGUUUAAUUGCUAAGAACUGUCUUUGAAAAGCAUGUGUAUCAGGGCAGCCUGAGGCUGCCAUCCUCCUGGCCUGACCCGAGGUGAGCACCACCUGCAAACACCAGGGGGCGCCAUGAGAUUGGAAUUCCAGGAGACCUACUAGAGCCUGGACUCAAAAGAACCCAGGAGAGUCAGUCAGCUGGGAAGGCUAUCUUGAGAAAGUUAACAUUAGUAUGAAAUGUAAGUAACAAGUCAUAUUUAGCCAAGUGGCACAUAUUCUGGGCAGAGGGAACAGCAUGCACAAAAAGCUGGAGGUGAGAGAGUACACGAUUCACUCAUGUAAUUGCUUUUCUCUAAAAUUUUUAGUUUCUUCCGUAAGUCCAUCAGGUUGAGGAGAUGGGAGACGAGUCUUUAUCUUAAAGGAUGUGGCUUCUCUUAAAUGCAGGCAGAUAUGAGAGAGGGCAUGGAUCUUUCUUGAAAUGUAAUUUUCUGCUUGUUUGUAAGUGAUUAACUACCAUAAUCAAUUGAGUCAAGGGUCAGGUCACUGCAUCCUUUGGGACAGCGGUGGGAUAGUCCCUUGUGCUUGGGGUAAUGAUGCCUGGAAUGCAUGCAGGGUGGCCCAGCUUGUGUCUUUGGGCACAUUAAGGUGAAGGAACAACUGGCCUCUGUGGCUUUCCAUCCAUCUCCUUGCUACUCUUUCCUAUUUGCAUUUCCAACCCAGUCCAGCUACUCUGGUAGACAUGGCAGGCUGGGAGCAGGCUGGUAUUCUAACCUGUGUCAGGAAACAGGUUAAGGGGCUUAAUGUUUUAUAUGUUCAAACCUGAAAGCAGCCAUAUAAAAUAGGUGUUAAUGAAUUAUUAGCCCCAUUUGUCCAGAUGCCAAAACAGUCUUAGAGAAAUUAGGUAGCUCAUUUAAGAAAGUCAAAUCCAGUUUGUGUUCUUUCUGCCGGCCCACCCUCAAGUUGCCUGCUGCCUCCCCACUCUGAGGCCAUUCACCUCCUCCUGCAAUAUCAACAGGACAGCCAACCACUGUGUUCACACAGUCCUUUAUGGGCGGCGGACUGGUUUCACAAAUGCAAGGUUAGUACAGUUUAGACAUGAAUUUGUUGAUUCUGAGGAGUCAAUGGUUUUCAGGGAGGUACACUGGAGAGCCUUGACCAUUUGCACAUUGCCUCUGAAUGUACAAUGCUUCUUAAACACUCCACUCCUGCCUCCUCACCCCAGGCAGGGUAGGUGCCAUCUCUAGGUUGCAGUCAGGGCUGACACUGUCCACAAUGGAACUGAAAAUGUGUAGACACUCAUGCCACAUCUGGUCGCAAGUGGUCAAGGUGUCACUGCUAGGGGGGUCGUUGUGAACAUUUGCUUGGAUUGUGCAGGUUCAAGACAGCCUCGUGUAAUAUUUUCCUUCAAUUCCCUUUAAAGGUGAGACCACAAAGAAAUGAUCGGGUAAUCAGUGUAGUAUUGAGAAUAGUGAAAACAUGAAGGGGAAGCACUCUUCUAGGUUCAAAUAAAACAAGCUUGACUCACCAUACCUGAGUGGCACCUUCCUUUCCUGUGUUCAACCCUAGAGGAAAGACAGCGGGUCCCCUCUGGCCUUUGCCGUGGGAGAGGUGGUAGGUGAAAGGCAAAGACAUUUACUGAGCUCCUUUCAGGUGCUCCUACUAUCCCUUGUGAAGCUUACUAGCCAAUCCUGGGGACAAAUGUUAAAUCUACCAAUACCAAUGAUCUCCGUUUCACUUCCCAGCAAGGUCAGGGAAGCGAUCUGCCCUGCACACAGUGAAGCGCUUGGCAGUCAUAUAAUAACAACACACAUAUUUGGAUAGUUGUUCUGUUAUAGUUACCAUUUUUAUACUGUCUAUUUGUGGAACAUUUUCACACCGAGUAUCUCAUCUGACUAUCCCAACCGACAGGUAGGCAUAGCCCUCCCAGGUUUACACCUAAGGAAACAGAAUCAGGGACAGUUCAUAAAAAUAGCAGGUCACUUAAUAAAGAGAGCAUGGAGUAUGUGCUAGGCACUGGCCAGAGUGUUUUAAAUAUUUAGAUUUAUUUACUGUUUGCAACAACCCUGUGAGGUGGGUACUGUUACUAUCCCUAUUUUGCAGAUGGGGAGGGUUAGGCCCAGAGAUCUUAGUAGUUUGCCCUGGGUCACAUAGCUGGUAAAACAUACAGAGAGAACUUGAACCCAGGUGGAUGGGCUCUAGAGUUCUAUAGCCUCUUGUCUACUUGCUCAGCAUCAUGUAGUUAAAAAAGAGGCAAAACUGGAGUUCCAAGCUUGGCCUGUCUC